This is a long non-coding RNA of Bombus terrestris (buff-tailed bumblebee), 1747 nucleotides long. RefSeq lists it as uncharacterized. The record is from RefSeq and is a predicted model, not a curated record. The transcript has 3 exons. Lineage: Eukaryota; Metazoa; Arthropoda; Insecta; Hymenoptera; Apidae.
GUAUAUAUUACGUAUGUCUUAUCAAAUAUUUUAAAAUAUCGUCAGUAUCAUUGUAAUAUUGUUCAGUAUACGUUCUGCAAGUUAUUCCGGAUUUGUAACAAUUAUUAAUAUUCAAAAGUCUUAGAAUAGGGAUGCUAUAGUUUAUUAAUCUUUUCAAAGUAAUUUACGCAUUAAAUAAUUAGUUAGGUGAAUUGGGAACUAUUUUUAACAUUCCCCAAACUCUAAAAUUCGUGGCACUUUUUUAAAUCCAAGUUCAAAUUAAAAAAAUCACACAAAUAUUCGGAUUAUAAUUAUACACAGGAGGCAGCAGGAGACAAGCGCGUACAUUUUCUUGGCUCUGUAUAUUAUUGUCGCACUAAUGAAGUUUCAUAUCUUUAUUAUAAAUCUUUUCAAUAUUGAAUGUACAUGAUUUGUAGUAAAUUUCGCCUUUUUUCCUUUUGAUCUCGCAACUAGUUACUUUACUCUACCUAUACUACGGUAGAAGUAUUAACACUUGGAUCCUCUGAAAAGUAAUUUAUCAAAUAUGUUGAAAAUGAAAAAAAUAGGUUAAAAAUUAUCGAUAGGAAAAAAUUAAUGAUUGGUGUUGGCGCGCUAAUUUAAGCUAAGAAUAUUUGUUUCUAAAAAUCUCCAAUGAAGUAUUGCGUCGUCGUAGAUAAUACUGUGACUUAGAAGGUUCCGACAGAAGCUAACUGUACGACUUGUGAUCUUCUACUUAGAAUAUUGUAUGCGAUCAAGGAGCAAGGCGGAUAUUGUUAUUUUACCAAGAAUAAAAGGAAUAUGAUAACCAGAAGAAACAACCGACAGCGAAGUCUCAGUCACGUACGCCCAACAAUACAGUAUCAGUCGUUGUAAAUGCGCACGAUGCGAUGAAGACAGAACUAUAAUUCACGUGAUUAAAGCUGCACUUUGAUCAUCUGUUUAGACUGCGUUGCCAUUAUCGUGAACGAUAUAUGUACUUCAUCGAACGUAUCGUUACAGACGCGGGUGCGGCAGAUUCGCGGGAAGUGCGUAGACGUAGAGCUUCUUAAUAAUUAAUUAAUUAAUAACUGGCAGGAUAAUAUUACGCAACAGAGAAAAAAGUCAUUUACUUUUGAGAAUUUCUCGUAAAAAGGACACCAUCUUUCUUAGACUCUUUGAUUGCUGUCCUUGAUACGAUUAACGAGUCGAUCAACGAAACAAUCAUAUGAUAUUAUCUUUGGCGUGGUGAGGUACAGAAUCAGGAUGAUGCACUGGAAAAAUCGGUGAAGGUCCUAAAACGAAUUCGUCAUUCUCGAAUGGAAAGGAGCGUCAGCUCCCAAAAAAGAAUGGGAGAACGGGUUGUACGUUGAAAAGACUAAAACAGUAUAGUUAUUGAGAAAAGGAAAUAUUGAACGGACCUGGUAUCGGAACGAAACAUCUUUUGCUGAGAAGACGCAGACUGCUUAACUUUGCCUAAACGUGAUUAUGUUAUAUUUAGAUAAUGCAAAUAAAUAAGAAUGUCUUCUAGAAACUUAGAAUAAUUUUAUAAGUAUUUAAUAUUUCACUAGUUGACGUAUUAGUUAUUUUGGAAAUUCUUUCGCUCAGCGUUACUAAGUACAUAGAUAUAUAUUUAUUAUUUCCAACUACAUUUAGUGAAAUAAUAUAACUUUGUCGUUUCAAUACUUAAACUACCAACUCUUAAUAUAAAUGACCAAUUUGUAAGUAUUUAUUUUGAUGGUUAUAACGAAAAUACGAGUACCAAUAUACGUAUACAAUUAGCCAAUUUGAA